Molecule: ribosomal RNA, 253 nt
Filed under: uncultured bacterium
Lineage: Bacteria
Description: partial 16S ribosomal RNA
Rfam family: Bacterial small subunit ribosomal RNA
Source: RNAcentral
UACGUAGGGUGCAAGCGUUGUCCGGAAUUAUUGGGCGUAAAGAGCUCGUAGGCGGUUCGUCGCGUCGGCUGUGAAAACCCGGAGCUCAACUCCGGGCCUGCAGUCGAUACGGGCGGACUGGAGUGUUGCAGGGGAGACUGGAAUUCCUGGUGUAGCGGUGAAAUGCGCAGAUAUCAGGAGGAACACCGGUGGCGAAGGCGGGUCUCUGGGCAACUACUGACGCUGAGGAGCGAAAGUGUGGGGAGCGAACAGG